RNAcentral lists this ribosomal RNA (298 nucleotides) under Mycoplasmopsis bovis. RNAcentral describes it as "partial 16S ribosomal RNA". It matches the Rfam family "Bacterial small subunit ribosomal RNA", at positions 166 to 454 of the family's 1533-position model. The record is from RNAcentral. Lineage: Bacteria; Bacillati; Mycoplasmatota; Mycoplasmoidales; Metamycoplasmataceae.
AUACCGAAUACUUAUUAUUUUUGCAUGAAAGUAAUAUAAAAGGAAGCGUUUGCUUCGCUAAAAGAUCGGAGUGCGCAACAUUAGCUAGUUGGUGAGGUAACGGCCCACCAAGGCGAUGAUGUUUAGCGGGGUUGAGAGAUUGAUCCGCCACACUGGGACUGAGAUACGGCCCAGACUCCUACGGGAGGCAAGACAGUAGGGGAAUAUUCCACAAUGGACGAAAGUCUGAUGGAGCGACACAGCGUGCAGGAUGAAGGCCCUAUGGGUUGUAAACUGCUGUGGUUAGGGAAGAAAAAGU